GAAUUGCGAUAAGUAGUGUGAAUUGCAGAAUUUCGUGAAUCAUCGAAUCUUUGAACGCACAUUGCACUUUUUGGUAUCCCGAAAAGUAUGCCUGUUUGAGAAUCGAUUUAAUCCAUCACUUGAACUUUGGUGAAAGUGGACUUGGGUGAUACCGUUUACUCGGUUCACCUUAAAGAAAUAAGACUGAGACUCUUUGUUUCAAAGCGAUAUUAGUAAGCUCUGGCUUAUUACCGCUGACUGAAACACUUUGACUUGAUCCUAAAUCGAACUUUGAUCUUUGAUGCAAGACCCUGUUUGGAACUGCUCUGGUAGUUUCAAUCAAUUAUGGUCUCAAAUCAGGCAAGACUACCCGCUGAACUUAA
RNAcentral lists this unclassified non-coding RNA (362 nucleotides) under uncultured fungus. RNAcentral's name for it is "sequence contains ITS1". The stretch from base 1 to 105 matches the Rfam family "5.8S ribosomal RNA", at positions 50 to 154 of the family's 154-position model. Lineage: Eukaryota; Fungi. The record is from RNAcentral.